Molecule: unclassified non-coding RNA, 345 nt
Filed under: Hevea brasiliensis (rubber tree)
Lineage: Eukaryota; Viridiplantae; Streptophyta; Magnoliopsida; Malpighiales; Euphorbiaceae
Source: RNAcentral
GAACAAUCAAAUCAUAGAUCAUGUGCUUCUUUCUAUUUAUAUUCAGAGAUACAGUUGAUUUCUCGGAAGCUUAUUUUAAGGGCAUAGAUAUGCUAAGUUAUCUAAAUUCAAUGACAAUUUUAAAGAUACUGACCACUUGAAAGACACAAAGCUUUCAGCUCAUCAUCUUUGGCAGUGGCAAUAUUUUCAUUUGCAAGCAUAAAUUAUUUAGAGCAGCCAACCUCUUUUUGUCUUUUUACUCUUUUUCACUGGAAAUCUAGAAAGAGUAUUUGGUAGCAAGAGUCACAAGGUCCCCACAAUUUAUGGAAUGAAAAACUGUAAGCUCUAAUUCUUACCAUAAAGAAA